RNAcentral lists this non-coding RNA (152 nucleotides) under uncultured Blautia sp. The record is from RNAcentral. Lineage: Bacteria; Bacillati; Bacillota; Clostridia; Lachnospirales; Lachnospiraceae.
AUAAGGUUUAUCUCAUGAUAACAGGGAAGUUAAGUGAAAAUCUUACACGGUCACGCCGCUGUAAGGAGGAGCUGUGUUUUAAUAUGCCACUGAGUUUUCGGGAAGGCAAAAUACAGUGAUGAUACCAAGUCAGAAAACCUGCCUUAUAUAUA